GUAAAAGGCUGUGAUGACAUGAUGACAGUCUGCAGGUAAAAGGCUGUGAUGACAGUCUGCAGGUAAAAGGCUGUGAUGACAUGAUGACAGUCUGUAGGUAAAAGGCUGUGAUGACAUGAUGACAGUCUGUAGGUAAAAGGCUGUGAUGACAUGAUGACAGUCUGCAGGUAAAAGGCUGUGAUGACAUGAUGACAGUCUGUAGGUAAAAGGCUGUGAUGACAGUCUGUAGGUAAAAGGCUGUGAUGACAUGAUGACAGUCUGUAGGUAAAAGGCUGUGGUGA
Oncorhynchus keta (chum salmon) is the source of this 281-nucleotide long non-coding RNA. RefSeq lists it as uncharacterized. The record is from RefSeq and is a predicted model, not a curated record. The transcript has 3 exons. Lineage: Eukaryota; Metazoa; Chordata; Actinopteri; Salmoniformes; Salmonidae.